CUGCAUUGAACCCCACCUAUAGGUUACUGUAGGCCUGCAUUGAACCCCACCCAUAGGUUACUGUAGGCCUGCAUUGAUCCCCACCUAUAGGUUACUGUAGGCCUGCAUUGAUCCCCACCUAUAGGUUACUGUAGGCCUGCAUUGAACCCCACCUAUAGGUUAAUGUAGGCCUGCAUUGAUCCCCACCUAUAGGUUACUGUAGGCCUGCAUUGAUCCCCACCUAUAGGUUACUGUAGGCCUGCAUUGAUCCCUACCUAUAGGUUACUGUAGGCCUGCAUUGAUCCCCACCUAUAGGUUACUGUAGGCCUGCAUUGAUCCCCACCUAUAGGUUACUGUAGGCCUGCAUUGAUCCCUACCUAUAGGUUACUGUAGGCCUGCAUUGAUCCCCACCUAUAGGUUACUGUAGGCCUGCAUUGAUCCCCACCUAUAGGUUACUGUAGGCCUGCAUUGAUCCCUACCUAUAGGUUACUGUAGGCCUGCAUUGAUCCCCACCUAUAGGUUACUGUAGGCCUGCAUUGAUCCCUACCUAUAGGUUACUGUAGGCCUGCAUUGAUCCCUACCUAUAGGUUACUGUAGGCCUGCAUUGAUCCCCACCUAUAGGUUACUGUAGGCCUGCAUUGAUCCCCACCUAUAGGUUACUGUAGGCCUGCAUUGAUCCCCACCUAUAGGUUACUGUAGGCCUGCAUUGAACCACACCUAUAGGUUACUGUAGGCCUGCGUUGAACCCCAACUAUAGGUUACUGUAGGCCUGCAUUGAACCACACCUAUAGGUUACUGUAGGCCUGCAUUGAACCACACCUAUAGGUUACUGUAGGCCUGCGUUGAACCCCAACUAUAGGUUACUGUAGGCCUGCAUUGAACCACACCUAUAGGUUACUG
Molecule: long non-coding RNA, 879 nt
Organism: Oncorhynchus keta (chum salmon)
Lineage: Eukaryota; Metazoa; Chordata; Actinopteri; Salmoniformes; Salmonidae
Exons: 5
Source: RefSeq, a predicted model, not a curated record